UACGGGGGGUGCUAGCGCUAUCCGGAAUCAUUGGGUUUAAAGGGUCCGUAGGCGGGAUAAUAAGUCAGCGGUGAAAGUCUGUGGCUCAACCAUAGAAUUGCCAUUGAUACUGUUGUUCUUGAGUGCUUAUGAAGUGGUUAGAAUAUGUAGUGUAGCGGUGAAAUGCAUAGAUAUUACAUAGAAUACCGAUUGCGAAGGCAGAUCACUAAUAAUUCACUGACGCUGAUGGACGAAAGCGUAGGUAGCGAACAGG
RNAcentral lists this unclassified non-coding RNA (253 nucleotides) under uncultured Flavobacteriaceae bacterium. RNAcentral's name for it is "contains 16S-23S intergenic spacer region". It matches the Rfam family "Bacterial small subunit ribosomal RNA", at positions 524 to 776 of the family's 1533-position model. The record is from RNAcentral. Lineage: Bacteria; Pseudomonadati; Bacteroidota; Flavobacteriia; Flavobacteriales; Flavobacteriaceae.